This 523-nucleotide ribosomal RNA is filed under the name uncultured bacterium. RNAcentral's name for it is "bacterial SSU rRNA". It matches the Rfam family "Bacterial small subunit ribosomal RNA", at positions 8 to 526 of the family's 1533-position model. The record is from RNAcentral.
AGAGUUUGAUCAUGGCUCAGAUUGAACGCUGGCGGCAUGCCUUACACAUGCAAGUCGAACGGCAGCACGGGAGCAAUCCUGGUGGCGAGUGGCGAACGGGUGAGUAAUACAUCGGAACGUGCCCAGUAGUGGGGGAUAGCCCGGCGAAAGCCGGAUUAAUACCGCAUACGACCUACGGGUGAAAGCGGGGGAUCGCAAGACCUCGCGCUAUCGGAGCGGCCGAUGUCAGAUUAGCUAGUUGGUAGGGUAAAAGCCUACCAAGGCAACGAUCUGUAGCUGGUCUGAGAGGACGACCAGCCACACUGGGACUGAGACACGGCCCAGACUCCUACGGGAGGCAGCAGUGGGGAAUUUUGGACAAUGGGCGCAAGCCUGAUCCAGCCAUGCCGCGUGCGGGAAGAAGGCCUUCGGGUUGUAAACCGCUUUUGUCAGGGAAGAAACGCUCUGAGCUAAUACCUCGGAGUAAUGACGGUACCUGAAGAAUAAGCACCGGCUAACUACGUGCCAGCAGCCGCGGUAAUAC